GGGUCCCGCCUCUGGAAGAUGUAG
This 24-nucleotide non-coding RNA is filed under the name Arabidopsis thaliana (thale cress). The record is from RNAcentral. Lineage: Eukaryota; Viridiplantae; Streptophyta; Magnoliopsida; Brassicales; Brassicaceae.